Molecule: ribosomal RNA, 301 nt
Filed under: uncultured bacterium
Lineage: Bacteria
Description: partial 16S ribosomal RNA
Rfam family: Bacterial small subunit ribosomal RNA
Source: RNAcentral
CAGCAGCCGCGGUAAUACGAAGGGUGCAAGCGUUACUCGGAAUUACUGGGCGUAAAGCGUGCGUAGGUGGUGGUUUAAGUCCGUUGUGAAAGCCCUGGGCUCAACCUGGGAAUUGCAGUGGAUACUGGGUCACUAGAGUGUGGUAGGGGAGAUUGGAAUUCCUGGUGUAGCGGUGGAAUGCGCAGAUAUCAGGAGGAACACCAGUGGCGAAGGCGACCACCUGGGCUCAUACUGACACUGAGGUGCGAAAGCGUGGGGAGCAAACAGGAUUAGAUACCCGGGUAGUCCCUGUCUCUUAUAC